CACCACUCAAGCCUGGCUUGGUAUUGGGCGCCGCGGUGUUCCGCGCGCCUCAAAGUCUCCGGCUGAGCUGUCCGUCUCCAAGCGUUGUGAUUUCAUUAAUCGCUUCGGAGUGCGGGUGGCCGCGGCCGUUAAAUCUUUCACAA
This 143-nucleotide unclassified non-coding RNA is filed under the name uncultured fungus. RNAcentral's name for it is "sequence contains ITS2". Lineage: Eukaryota; Fungi. The record is from RNAcentral. RNAcentral also lists the same sequence under 2 other names.